UAAUUUAGCAAUCUUUCACGAGCUAUUUUUUUUUUCGAACCCUGAAGUAUUAUUACAGUCCCGGUAUUUUAUGUUCCUAAUAGCCACCCUAUAUCAUGAUUAUUUUUUUCAUACAUGUCACAAUCAAAUCAUAUCUUAAAUCAUAUCUUAUCAAAUUUUCCACUUUCUUUCCUCCCACCAUACCCCUUCUCCUACUAAUCCGACAGCCAAAUCUUAACAAAUCCCACUUUAAUUCCCACUUAACAAAUUCCACUUUCACACUUUUAAAUUCCCACCAACUUUCACACUUUUAAAUUCCCACCAUUUCAGACUUGUCUGCAAAACCAUUUCCUCUUGGCAAUUCCCACCAUUUCAGACUCUCUCUUUGGCGUACAGAAUCCAGCAACUGUGCAAUCAAGUAAAUCAAAGCAGCCACCCAUCUGUGUAUCAACAACCGGAAACUUUCAAAGGCUUUGUGGAUCGUGAGGACUAGCACUGCUAUACCAAUUCAGAGUUAAGAAUAAACGACAGGCUUUGCCUAUUCAGGUGGGCUUAUUUUCCAAAUGUAUGAUUUAGCUAUUGAGCUUAAAUAUUUCAAUGAAAUGAAAACUGUUUAUCCAAUAAAUAUUUUUGUGCACUCUGCUCUGUUUAAGGCUCGCAUAAGUUAAUCGAUCGAGGUUCUCUUAUGACCUAACACGUUGUUUGAGAAUUGUGUACACCUAUUAGCUGACUCGGUGGGUUGAUCUCCAUCGGGCACUAAUCAUGUAUGAGGCGUUAUAAGGGUGCUCGACGGGAUGUGUUCCGGAGCAUUGGGUCCCAAAUGGGAGCUUGGCUGGGUUACGCCCUCAGUCCAAGUAAAGCAGGAGUAAUGGAUCCGUCGGUGGCUAAAAGGUCCGGGAUCACAGCGAGUAACGGAAAGGGAGUGUGACAAUUGCGCGCAAUAUAAUAAAAUGUUUUAACAUGCUUAGAAGUUAUUUUUGUUUUAAAACCUUCUAAGUCAUGUAAAGUAUAAUUGGAUAAACUGCUCUUAUGAUUAUGAAAUAUUUAUAAAAAUGCUAGCCCACUAAGUACAUUAGUACUUAGCCCAAAAUUUCUUUCAAAUGUUUUCAGGUUGAUUGGUCGGUGCUGACGGGGCAGAGCUGAGGCUAGGGUUCAACUCCGUAUUUUGUCUUCCGCUGUUGCACUAGCUCUUAUUUGUCUUUUAUUUCUCCAACUCAAGACUUUUAUGUUAAAUUCUGAAUUAUGUUUCUUAUCGAGCUUAAACUCUCAACUUCUAGCUCUAUAUUAUUAACGUUGGUUAUCGGAAGCAUGAAACCGAACUUGUGAUCCUAAGGCUUAGAAUGUUGUUGAUUGACUAAUAUCACUUGAUUUUUGUCUUUCUUCA
Long non-coding RNA from Salvia miltiorrhiza (redroot sage), 1363 nucleotides. RefSeq lists it as uncharacterized. The transcript has 3 exons. The record is from RefSeq and is a predicted model, not a curated record. NCBI's taxonomy places the organism in Eukaryota, Viridiplantae, Streptophyta, Magnoliopsida, Lamiales, Lamiaceae.